CUCUGUGCAGUAUAGGAUAGUGCAGAGGACUAGAAGAGUUUACUAGUUGAAGCUUGUAUUUGUGUUGAUUUCUUGCGCAAUUCGUAUAAUUUAAAGAACCAUGGUGACGAAGAAGUUAUUCUGUUGUGCAAUGUUUUGACACUCCUCGAUUCAUUUUCAUGGCGACUGCUUCGACUGGCAGUACGAAUAUGUCGAUUGAAAAUUCGUCGGGAAGCUCCACCGCUGAAGAGUGUGGUGCACAUGUCAAGAUCGAAGAAGACUUUCUGAACUCUGGUCGGACAGGCCGUCGAAAUGCCAUACCUGAUAUUUAUUGCCCACAGUCAAGAGUCUCAACGGCAGAACUACCCACAAAUUUUGCCAGACUGUCUUGUGAAGAGUCUGGCCAAACCCAAGUGUCAUCAAGCACUAAUCUGGGGCCCAACUCCUGAUAGAAUGACUCCAAUUUCCUCAGAUACUCAUUCUUUGCAAGAAGUGAUCCACUAGAUUACACAGUAUCCCAUCUUUGCUUUCACAAGUUGUUUUACUUUCAUUCUUCAGUACUUAUAUUGAAUGUUGGGUUAUCAAUCCCGCUGCUAGUUUUUUUUUUACUUUGUUUUUUAACACUUUUGUCAAAUCAAUACACACUUGUCAAUAA
Molecule: long non-coding RNA, 634 nt
Organism: Daphnia pulicaria
Lineage: Eukaryota; Metazoa; Arthropoda; Branchiopoda; Diplostraca; Daphniidae
Exons: 2
Source: RefSeq, a predicted model, not a curated record